Molecule: microRNA, 24 nt
Filed under: Tribolium castaneum (red flour beetle)
Lineage: Eukaryota; Metazoa; Arthropoda; Insecta; Coleoptera; Tenebrionidae
Description: tca-miR-2796-5p
Source: miRBase by way of RNAcentral
AGGGGUUUCUUUCGGCCUCCAGCG